ACACAUUUUCUCUCUCUAGAAACACCACCAACCAUACACCACCAUCACCACAAUAAUCCAUCACCAUACACCGCCUCUGGCCCCGCCUCCGUCGUCACCAUCAAAGCCGCCGCCACCAUCCCACUGCCGAAAACACCACCAACAUUAAAACCCCAACACCACCAUCCCACUGCUGCCAGCUCCGAACACCCCACCAACCCCUUGCCGCCACUCCACCGUGAAGAUUUGAAGCUUAAACCUACACCGCCGCCGCCUUAAUACUGCAGAUUCCCCACCAUCCCCUCGCCGGCUCCGUCUGCGGCGGUAGCUUCUUCAACUCAUAUAACAGUAAAUGAAGCACUUGAUCUGCUCGUUGAUGAGCUUCAGACAGUAUGGCGUAUGAUCUCCAAUUCUCUUCUGUUGAUCUAGGGUUUUUAAUCACAAUUGUACAAGAUAUAAUUUAACACACAGUUUAUCCUUUUUUGAAGUGUAUGAAUACAUCUCCAGUGACCUGUAAAUAGAGUUUUGAUUAUAACU
Molecule: long non-coding RNA, 516 nt
Filed under: Helianthus annuus (common sunflower)
Lineage: Eukaryota; Viridiplantae; Streptophyta; Magnoliopsida; Asterales; Asteraceae
Description: hypothetical non coding rna
Source: RNAcentral